Molecule: ribosomal RNA, 253 nt
Filed under: uncultured bacterium
Lineage: Bacteria
Description: partial 16S ribosomal RNA
Rfam family: Bacterial small subunit ribosomal RNA
Source: RNAcentral
UACGUAGGGUGCUAGCGUUGUUCGGAAUCAUUGGGCGUAAAGCGCGUGUAGGCGGUCAGCUAAGUUGGAUGUGAAAUCCCUCGGCUCAACCGAGGAAGUGCAUUCAAAACUAACUGGCUUGAGAGUGGUAGAGGAAGGUGGAAUUCCUAGUGUAGAGGUGAAAUUCGUAGAUAUUAGGAGGAAUACCGGAGGCGAAGGCGGCCUUCUGGACCAUUUCUGACACUGAGACGCGAAAGCGUGGGUAGCAAACAGG